This 544-nucleotide ribosomal RNA is filed under the name uncultured bacterium. RNAcentral's name for it is "bacterial SSU rRNA". It matches the Rfam family "Bacterial small subunit ribosomal RNA", at positions 358 to 914 of the family's 1533-position model. The record is from RNAcentral.
GGAAUCUUGCGCAAUGGGCGAAAGCCUGACGCAGCAACGCCGCGUGCGGGAUGAAGGCCUUCGGGCUGUAAACCGCUUUCAGCAGGAACGAAAAUGACGGUACCUGCAGAAGAAGGAGCGGCCAACUACGUGCCAGCAGCCGCGGUGACACGUAGGCUCCAAGCGUUGUCCGGAUUUAUUGGGCGUAAAGAGCUCGUAGGCGGUUUAGUAAGUCGGGUGUUAAAACUCUGGGCUCAACCCGGAGAGGCCAUCCGAUACUGCUGUGACUUGAGUUCAGGAGGGGAGCGGGGAAUUCCUAGUGUAGCGGUGAAAUGCGCAGAUAUUAGGAGGAACACCGGUGGCGAAGGCGCCGCUCUGGACUGAAACUGACGCUGAGGAGCGAAAGCAUGGGUAGCAAACAGGAUUAGAUACCCUGGUAGUCCAUGCCGUAAACGGUGGGCACUAGGUGUGGGUUCCAACUAACGGGAUCCGCGCCGUCGCUAACGCAUUAAGUGCCCCGCCUGGGGAGUACGGUCGCAAGACUAAAACAAUCACUAGUGCGGCC